GAGUUUGAUCGUGGCUCAGAUUGAACGCUGGCGGCAUGCCUUACACAUGCAAGUCGAACGGCAGCACGGGAGCUUGCUCCUGGUGGCGAGUGGCGAACGGGUGAGUAAUGCAUCGGAACGUAUCCUGGAGUGGGGGAUAACGUAGCGAAAGUUACGCUAAUACCGCAUAUUCUGUGAGCAGGAAAGCGGGGGACCUUCGGGCCUCGCGCUCUUGGAGCGGCCGAUGUCGGGAUUAGCUAGUUGGUGAGGUAAAGGCUCACCAAGGCGACGAUCCGUAGCAGGUCUGAGAGGAUGAUCUGCCACACUGGAACUGAGACACGGUCCAGACUCCUACGGGAGGCAGCAGUGGGAAUUUUGGACAAUGGGGGCGAACCCUGAUCCAGCCAAUGCCGCGUGAGUGAGGAA
Molecule: ribosomal RNA, 405 nt
Filed under: bacterium enrichment culture clone ALO1_GLFRUDD03GI701
Lineage: Bacteria
Description: bacterial SSU rRNA
Rfam family: Bacterial small subunit ribosomal RNA
Source: RNAcentral